GUGCUCGCUUUGGCAGCACAUAUACUAAAAUUUGUAUGAUACAGAGAUUAGUUAGCAUGGCUCCUGAGCAAGGAUGACAUGCAAAUUCGUGAAGUGUUCCAUAUUUUU
This is a small nuclear RNA of Molossus molossus (Pallas's mastiff bat), 108 nucleotides long. The record is from RefSeq and is a predicted model, not a curated record. Lineage: Eukaryota; Metazoa; Chordata; Mammalia; Chiroptera; Molossidae.